CCUACGGGAGGCAGCAGUGGGGGAUAUUGCACAAUGGGGGAAACCCUGAUGCAGCGAUGCCGCGUGAAUGAAGACGGCCUUCGGGUUGUAAAGUUCUGUCGCAGGGGACGAAAAUGCCGGUACCCUGCAAGAAAGCUGCGGCUAACUACGUGCCAGCAGCCGCGGUAAUACGUAGGCAGCAAGCGUUGUCCGGAAUUACUGGGUGUAAAGGGAGCGUAGGCGGGAGGAUAAGUUGAAUGUGAAAGCUAUGGGCUCAACCCAGAGCUGCGUUCGAAACUGUUCGUCUUGAGUGAAGGAGAGGCAGGCGGAAUGCCCGGUGUAGCGGUGAAAUGCGUAGAUAUUGGGAGGAACACCAGUUGCGAAGGCGGCCUGCUGGGUUUUUACUGACGCUGAGGCUCGAAAGCGUGGGUAGCGAACAGGAUUAGAUACCCGAGUAGUC
RNAcentral lists this ribosomal RNA (439 nucleotides) under uncultured bacterium. Its description in RNAcentral is "partial 16S ribosomal RNA". It matches the Rfam family "Bacterial small subunit ribosomal RNA", at positions 338 to 795 of the family's 1533-position model. The record is from RNAcentral.